This 140-nucleotide ribosomal RNA is filed under the name uncultured bacterium. RNAcentral describes it as "partial 16S ribosomal RNA". It matches the Rfam family "Bacterial small subunit ribosomal RNA", at positions 796 to 934 of the family's 1533-position model. The record is from RNAcentral.
CUGGCAGUAAACGGUGCACGUUUGGUGUGGGCGCAAUCGACCGCGUCCGCGCCGGAGCUAACGCGUUAAACGUGCCGCCUGGGAAGUACGGUCGCAAGAUUAAAACUCAAAGAAAUUGACGGGGACCCGCACAAGCGGUG